RNAcentral lists this ribosomal RNA (459 nucleotides) under uncultured bacterium. Its description in RNAcentral is "partial 16S ribosomal RNA". It matches the Rfam family "Bacterial small subunit ribosomal RNA", at positions 338 to 795 of the family's 1533-position model. The record is from RNAcentral.
CCUACGGGUGGCUGCAGUGAGGAAUAUUGGUCAAUGGGCGGGAGCCUGAACCAGCCAAGCCGCGUGAGGGAAGAAGGUACAGCGUAUCGUAAACCUCUUUUGUCAGGGAACAAAGUCGGGGACUAGUCCCCGGAUGAGGGUAACUGAAGAAAAAGCAUCGGCUAACUCCGUGCCAGCAGCCGCGGUAAUACGGAGGAGGCGAGCGUUAUCCGGAUUUAUUGGGUUGAAAGGGUGCGCAGGCGGCCUGUUAAGUCAGCGGUAAAAGCCCGGGGCUCAACCCCGGCGAGCCGUUGAAACUGGCGGGCUGGAGUUGGAGAGAAGUACGCGGAAUGCGCGGUGUAGCGGUGAAAUGCUUAGAUAUCGCGCAGAACCCCGAUUGCGAAGGCAGCUUACUAAACUGCCACUGACAUUGAUGCUCGAAAGUGUGGGUAUCAAACAGGAUUAGAUACCCCAGUAGUC